GGGUCGUUAGCUCAGUUGGUAGAGCAGCGGACUUUUAAUCCGUUGGUCGCGCGUUCGAGCCGCGCACGGCCCACCA
RNAcentral lists this transfer RNA (76 nucleotides) under Candidatus Ichthyocystis hellenicum. RNAcentral describes it as "bacterium 2013Arg42i tRNA-Lys(ttt)". It matches the Rfam family "tRNA". Rfam says of the family: Transfer RNA (tRNA) molecules are approximately 80 nucleotides in length. Their secondary structure includes four short double-helical elements and three loops (D, anti-codon, and T loops). Lineage: Bacteria; Pseudomonadati; Pseudomonadota; Betaproteobacteria; Burkholderiales. The record is from RNAcentral.